UAUGUGAUCGUCUCUCGCAUAUCAAUAAGCGGAGGAAAAGAAACUAACAAGGAUUCCCCUAGUAACGGCGAGUGAAGCGGGAAGAGCUCAAAUUUGAAAUCUUAAAGGGUUUCCCUUUACGAAUUGUAGUUUAAAGAAGUGUUUUCUGUUGAGGUUUUGGUAAAAGUUCUUUGGAAUAGGACAUCAUAGAGGGUGAGAAUCCCGUAUUUGACCCUUACUUUCAACUUUGUGAUACACUUUCAAAGAGUCGGAUUGUUUGGGAAUGCAGUCCAAAAUGGGUGGUAAAUUUCAUCUAAAGCUAAAUAUUGGCGAGAGACCGAUAGCGAACAAGUACCGUGAGGGAAAGAUGAAAAGAACUUUGAAAAGAGAGUUAAACAGUACGUGAAAUUGUCAAAAGGGAAGCGUUUGACACCAGUGUUGUUUUUCUGAAAAUCAAUUAAAGAACUGUUUAUGCUAAGUUGUUUAGACUUUAUCAGCUAACUGUUUAGUUUUGAGCUUUUCUUUAAUGCACUUUUCAGUUAACAAGUCAACAUCAAUUUCUUUUGCUGUAAAAAAGCUUGAGGAAGGUGGCUUGAGAUUCGUCUUAAGUGUUUAUAGCCUCUUGCCUAUGCAGUCGGAGAGAUUGAGGUCUGCAGCGUAGAUCCUUCGGGGCUAAAUGCAUUUGUGCUAAGUUAUAGCAUUUUAUAGACAACUUGUUGACUAUGAUUUGUCUUGUAGCUUACUCGCUUAUGUUAUUUUACCUACGCUUAGGAUGUUGACACACGCGCGUGCUCG
This 774-nucleotide ribosomal RNA is filed under the name uncultured Neocallimastigales. Its description in RNAcentral is "partial large subunit ribosomal RNA". It matches the Rfam family "Eukaryotic large subunit ribosomal RNA", at positions 24 to 643 of the family's 3401-position model. The record is from RNAcentral. Lineage: Eukaryota; Fungi; Neocallimastigomycota; Neocallimastigomycetes; Neocallimastigales.